Molecule: long non-coding RNA, 380 nt
Organism: Xenia sp. Carnegie-2017
Lineage: Eukaryota; Metazoa; Cnidaria; Anthozoa; Malacalcyonacea; Xeniidae
Exons: 5
Source: RefSeq, a predicted model, not a curated record
UGUCUGUUGACCUGUUGACCAACUAAAGAAAUACGUGGGUGCUGUUCAAUCGUUGAAAAGAAAUGACAUUAUGGAAGAAGCUCCAGAAAAUGAAAGACUUUCUUCCAUCAUUCUUUCUCCGGAAUCUGACGUCGACGAAGUGAGAAAGGAAAAAAACAAAGAUUUUGAGCGGAAGUUGAUCCAAGUCGCUGAUAUGCAUGGCGAACUUAUUGAACGCUCGUGAAUAUCAGCUAAGAAAAUUAAAAGAAGAGCUUGUCAAUCUUAGAGGACCGCUUCCUCAGGACAAUAAUCAUGAUGAAUGUUUAUAUUUGACGGAGUUUGGUCCAAAUUUCAUGUCUGUCAAUACUCGUCCUUUAAUUAACAUUUGGAUUCCAUCUGUU